RNAcentral lists this unclassified non-coding RNA (4114 nucleotides) under Hevea brasiliensis (rubber tree). The record is from RNAcentral. Lineage: Eukaryota; Viridiplantae; Streptophyta; Magnoliopsida; Malpighiales; Euphorbiaceae.
GAAAUAAUAGGGUAUCAUUAACAUUCUUCCAGAUACAACAGGUAAAAUAUUGCAAGUAGUAAAAAAUGAGGGACUUUGUAGCAAAGAGAAAAGGUUCUGGAACACUCUAUAGGACUCUCCAGAGGCAUAAAGGUAAAAUGGAAGCUCUUCCAUAAUCCCAGCUUCAUUUCUGUAGCUGCAUACCAGUCUUCAUUCACCGAGUUAACUGAGCCCAGGCAAAGCGAAUCGCUAUGGCCAUAAUUUCAGAUUAUCAGGAGGACGAGAACGAGACGAAGCCGAGAUCGAAUUCAAAUCCGUCAUCGUCUUCUUCAUCUAAAACGCUGUCGUUUAACGCGACGUUCGAUCCAAGGAAUCCUAUAGGGAUUGUGGAGAGGCUGUUCGAUUUUCUGGUGAAGGAGACCGACUUUAUGGCUGAAGACACUGUGGAGAAGCAAAUCGCGGCUGUGGUGAAGGCGGCCAAGGAUAAGGCUAAGAAGAAGAUGGCCGGGGAAAGAGAAAGGGAAGCUGCUUUGGAAGGGAAUGAGAGCAAGAGGCUGAAGGAGGAGAAGAAGCCUGAUGUUAAGGAGGAGAAGAAGGUUGAGGUCAAAAGGGAGAUAAAGGCCAAGGCCAAGGAGGUGCCAAUGGAGAUCGAGAAGGAGGAGGAGAGUGGCGCCAGAGGUAUGAAUUUAUUCUGACUUUGUAUCUUUUUUUUUAUUAUUUUAUGUUUGUUGAUAACUUUUAUUUGUAUGGUUAGAGAAAUUGCAUAGCGUAAAGUGUAAAUUUGCAUGCUUACCCGUUUAAUGGCGGAGAAUAGACGAUGGCAUGGUUUUUCCCCCCUAUCCUUUACUUGUUAGUGGCAAGAACGUUGAGAAGUUUGCUUUGCUAUGUGAUUAUUGUUUGUAUUGUGAGUUCUUGGGACCUGGAAUGAUUUAAAACUUUAGGAUUAUGCCACAUUUCAGUCUUGGCUAAUUUUACUCUGCUACUGUUCAAUACUUUUUCUGUAGAAUUUAGACGACAAUGGCAAUAGAAAAGGAAAGAAAGGACGGGAAGCCUGAAAUCACGUACAAAUUUUGUAAUUCUGGUAUUUGGACAAGAAGGGUGAUUGGAUAAAAUACAUAGUAUUUGAUGCGGGUAUAUCAAUGCAUGUGAAGAAUAAGAUGCAGCCAUUGGCAUCUUUUCCUUUUGCCUGUGACUUUCUCAAGUGUCGACUAUUGUUUGUUGUUGAUGAUGUGGGAAGAGAAAGGAUGGAUAUAAUUUUGGGCCUCGAGAGUGUGAAGUAAAUAAAAUGUUGAGACCCUUGAAUGUUUGUGAAAGAAUUAGGCAAAUUCACCUUUAUUAGGUUCAAUCCUUAUUAGGUGUGCCUCUCUAGUCCAAGCUUCUAUAUGUUACUUGUUUGUAUUGAUUAGCAAGUAUAUGUUAUUAGAACUCUUUUCCUUUCAAUCUGCUCUAGAUGUAAAUUUUGCUCAUCCCUCUGUUUACAAAUCUUAUUUUUAGUAUAAUACAUCUGAAAAGCUGUCUUUUUCUUAAAAGUUAAGAUUGUGGGAUUUGUUGCUGACAUUGGAAGUUACUUUUUUUGGUUGCUCAAAGAUGGAACCUCAUAUUGUGUUUUUGAAACUGGUUAUAGUUUGAACAAAGCUUUAAACUUAAUACAAUGAAGAACUGAGACCAUAUGACAUGAUGGCACAUUUGAAAUUAUUAUGGUCAAUGACAGUGUAAGGUUUCUUUUGAAAUAACAGGUGUUUGAUAGAUUAAGCAAAGGUUUAACUUGUUUCCUUAGUACAUAGCUUCAUGCUUUCUCUAAAAAUGCAUCCUCCACCCUGGUAAUCUUUUCAUAUUUAGUUAAAUCUAUUUUUCUGCGCAACUUUCUUGCGAGUGUUAAGGUUUGUAUGUUGCCAUUAUCUGUUAAAGCAAUCAUAUGCACCUACUUGGCUGCAUUUCUCAUCCAUUAUUCAUCAAAUUAAUUGGUUUAGAAGUUACCUGUAUAUUCAUUUAGAGUGAAGAUAUUUCACUAUCUCUUGGUACUUACUUUUUCCAUUACAUCUAAUGUGUAAUGCGUUAGGGGCUGUUCCAAACAAAGGUAAUGGCCUCGAUCUGGAGAAAUAUUCUUGGACACAGACCCUACAAGAGGUUAAUGUACUUGUUCCAGUCCCUGUUGGUACAAAAUCAAGGUUUGUUGUAUGUGACAUAAAGAAAAACCAUCUGAAAGUUGGACUGAAGGGUCAGCCUCCUAUAAUUGAGGUAAGUUUGAACAUAUACUUGUUUUUGUGUUGAAAUCAAUAUCUUUUAGUUUGCGUGGAUCAUUUUCCUCUCAUUAAAUGUCUUCAAAUACUUGCAGGGAGAACUUUAUAAGCCUAUCAAGGUUGAUGAUUGCUAUUGGAGCAUUGGUAUGUUAACUAUUACAUUAAUGAGAAGUGCGCCUAGUAUGUUAUUAAUUCUCUUUACCAUAAUAUGAAAUGGAAAUAUUGAGCUUUAAGAAAUUUUGGGAAACCUUUAGCAAAUACAACAAAGUUAACCGUAUGAAUGUUUUGAGUGAUAUCUGUAUAGAUAUUUGUCCUCUUUGUUGCUUGUCAAGAGUCGUUACAGUAAAUGCUGAGUUGCUUAUGGUGUAUUAAAUUCUGUGCUGUUUCCAGAGGACCAAAAUACCAUCUCAAUUCUUUUGACCAAGCAUGACCAAAUGGAAUGGUGGAAAUGCUUAGUGAAGGGAGAUCCUGAAAUUAAUACUCAGAAAGUUGAACCUGAAAAUAGCAAACUAGCUGACCUGGAUCCUGAAACACGGCAGACUGUUGAAAAGAUGAUGGUAAAAUUUGAUGCUUUUUACACAUUCCUUUUGUUGAUAUUAUUUCCCAUCUUUUAUCAAUUGGGAUUUUCUGCCAGAUGGAAGGUCUUAAUUGAUGUAGCAGUUGGUUUUGUUUGUUGAUUAGCUUGAACUGUUAUUGUGGUAAUCUCUAUCCUGUUUUAAGGAUUCCUGAGGAUUUUGUUUCCCCUACUGUAACAGUUUGAUCAGCGACAGAAAUCAAUGGGUCUCCCAAGCAGUGAUGAGAUGCAGAAGCAGGAGAUGCUCAAAAAGUUCAUGGCUCAGCAUCCGGAGUUGGAUUUCUCGAAGGCCAAGAUAUCAUAAGAUUGGAAUGUUUAAUUUGGCGGCAGAGGGUUAGUCUAGAUGGCUGGGGCCUCUCCUUAUCCAGUGGGAUUUCUUUUUGUUGGGCUUGGAAUGGGUAACUCUAAGGUUUGGAUUGGUUGAACUCUGUUAACAGUUUUGGAGUUGAAAAUUUUUAAAUAGACGUGUGCUUUGCGGUCCCAAAUUUAAAUAUAGCUUUUGUGGUGCUAACUCCUUCAUGUUAUACUGCUUCGUUUGGCCUCAAAUAAUAGGGCUUUUUAACAAACCAGUGGAUUUUAAAAUACAAUUCACACACAAUAGGGUGGCUUAUAAAAUUUUUAUCCAAAGGGGUGUUUUUCUGCCGGUAGGACAAGAAACAAUUUGGACAAGAAGCAAUUUGGACGUGGACAGUUUGGAUUCACACAAGCUGGGUGCUACUCUUAAGUAUCGAUCAAGUUGUUUUUUUUUUGUCUUUGUUUUAUGUAUCUGAUAAAAAAAAUCCCUUUUGGUAAGUAUUUUGUAUCACUUCUUUGCGUGUUUAUUUUUUUAUUCCCCCUCCUGUAGUCGGAUAUAAUCGGGUUUCUUUGUUGUAGUUACUUACCUUGUGGUGUUGAAAGUUUAUAUCCCAUAUUCCCUUGUAAUCUGGUUCAAUUUUUUUUUUGAGGGGGGGUGGUGGUGGUAAUUUUAGAGCAAGAAUUCUGUAAGGCCAUGUGAUUAUAACCAGGAAAGAUUUAAUACAAACCUAUAGAAACCUUGCAGCGAUGAGAUUACUUGUUGCAGAACCUAAUAAAGGUGGCUUAGUUUGGAGCAUUAGCAGAUGAAAAGACUGGUAGUUCUCGAUCGAGUUGCCAACUGGUGAGGUGGUGUUUUUGGGUUGAAGAUGUUUUAAUUUUAGAUGCCUGGUGCAGCCUUGGGAAAACAAAAUUUGGAAAAAGUUUUGUGGUUGGCAAAAAUGUCUGCUCAAAACGAUAGCGUUUCGUGUGCCAACAAUUAAAAAAAAAAAAUCCCUAUUAUUAUCCCGCUGUCCUCGUCCUUACUGAG